AUUGAACGCUGGCGGCAGGCCUAACACAUGCAAGUCGAGCGGAGCGGCGGACGGGUGAGUAAUGCCUAGGAAUCUGCCCGGUAGUGGGGGAUAACGUCCGGAAACGGGCGCUAAUCCCGAAUACUAUCAGAUGAGCCUAGUUCGGAUUAGCGAGGUGGUGGGGUAAAGGCCUACCAAGGCGACGCUCCGUAAAUGGUCUGAGAGGAGGAUCAGUCAGAAUGGAACUGAGACACGGUCCAGACUCCUACGGGAGGCAGCAGUGGGGAAUAUUGGGCAAUGGGCGAAAGCCUGAUCCAGCAAUGCCGCGUGUGUGAAGUAGGUCUUCGGAUCGUAAGGCUCUUAAAGUUGGGAAGCGUUACCAACAGAAUAAUCACCGGCUGACUACGUGCCAGCAGCCGCGGUAAUUC
This 407-nucleotide ribosomal RNA is filed under the name uncultured bacterium. RNAcentral describes it as "partial 16S ribosomal RNA". It matches the Rfam family "Bacterial small subunit ribosomal RNA", at positions 30 to 526 of the family's 1533-position model. The record is from RNAcentral.